Molecule: ribosomal RNA, 292 nt
Filed under: uncultured bacterium
Lineage: Bacteria
Description: partial 16S ribosomal RNA
Source: RNAcentral
GGACUACUGGGGUAUCUAAUCCUGUUUGCUCCCCACGCUUUCGUGUCUCAACGUCAGGUAUGAACCAAGAAGCUGCCUUCGCCAUUGGUGUUCCUCCCGAGAUCCACGCAUUUUACCGCUACUCCGGGAAUUCCACUUCUCUCUCUCACCCUCUAGCUCGCCAGUUUUCAUUGCAACCCCCUAGUUAGGCUAGAGUCUUUAACAACAAACUUAACAAACCGCCUACACACUCUUUACGCCCAGUAAUUCCGAAUAACGCUUGCACCCUUCGUAUUACCGCGGCUGCUGGCAC